This is a long non-coding RNA of Erpetoichthys calabaricus (reedfish), 7281 nucleotides long. RefSeq lists it as uncharacterized. Lineage: Eukaryota; Metazoa; Chordata; Cladistia; Polypteriformes; Polypteridae. The record is from RefSeq and is a predicted model, not a curated record. The transcript has 2 exons.
AACUUGCCUUUCUUUUUCUCCCACUUUCUUUAGCUUGAUUAUUGUUGGUAGACUAUGGUGCGACAGUAACCAGCCAAAUCCUUCUGCAUUGGCUUUAAAGUAGUUUUAGUAUUUCAGAGAAAAGGCUCAGGAUUGUUUUUAGCUGUUAUUUCCUUCGCCACCCCCUCCCCCAUUUUCUGUUUAUAACAUGGAUAAAUGGGGAGAAAAACUAUUCUGAGGUGUUUUCUUGAACAGCAGUGACAGACAACAUACAUUUAUUUGUACUAGUCUGAUUAUUUUUGCUCAGAAUGCUAGUGAAAAUUGCUGGCUUUUCCUGUUUAACCCCAGAAUUAAGAAUUGUUUAAGGCUAAUAUCAGAGUAUAUUAAUCUCUUUGAUGUGUCAAGGCUGAUUCAAGACAAUGUACAAGAUCCUGUAAUAGUUACUUGUAGAUUUACCAGAAAUAGGUGUGUUACACUCCACUGAUACCCCAUUUUUCUCACUUGGAUGUAAAGGGAAGAUUAGAUAUAAUCAGUAACUAUGCUUUAAAGCUGCUGUCAUCUGUCUAAAGAAAAUGUUUUUGUAUCCGGUAUCUGAAAAUCUGUUCUUUCAUUUCCUUUACUCUGCUUGUCUGCUUCACUCCCUGGAAAUGAGACAAACAUACUGGUUUCUGAGGAAUUUAACAUGUGGUACACAUGCCUACAUGGAAACCCAAAGCUCGGUACACACUUCAGUUACUGCUUGCUUUGUCUGAAUAAGCUUCAGCAGUCUGCUUGAAGAGCAGGCCAAGUUAGCUGCCCAUAUGUCCUUUGUGAGCAAAAGUAUAAAAUCUUUACAUAUCAAAUUAUCACCUGUGUUCAAAGUUAUUUGCUGUUCACUGCUACACUGCAUGGAACUUGUUCAGCUGGGCAGCAUUCAGUGGAAUUUUGACUUCAUUUGGCACAGUGACACAUUGGAUAGAAAGUACUUUCUAUUGACUUGAAAAGAUACCUAACUUGUCAUGCCCUAGCCCUACAUUAUUGUACACCACUGGGACACAUCAUUUAUUAAAAUAAACCACAUUUUUGUGUUCUGUGACUAAAUUACAAAAAAUAAGUUAGCUUUUACAGUUAGAAGUUACUGCCCCAUUUGGACGUUUAAAUGAGAAGAAGGCAUUUGAUGUGCUUUUUUUUCCUGUAGAGGUUUACUAAGCAUGCUUUUGUGUUAAUUUAAUCUGUUUCAAGUUUGUAAGUAGUGGCCAUCUCAGUCAGUUUGUCUCCUACUUCAACAUACAGUCCCUGUUUGAUUCUUAUUAAAUACAUUGAUUUCAGAGAGCAGAAAAAAAUACAUAAAGCCUUAACCAUGCAUCCUCGAAAAAACCAGUGUGUGACUCUUGUUUUGUGAAAACCUUCAUUAAACUUAUAGAAUAUCUUGAAGGUUUUUUUUUCCCUCCCAUGUUGUUGGUUUUUUUUUCCCUCAAAAUAUUGUGUUUGUACUUUUGUGUUUCUCCAUUAGCAUUGUUGCCUGCUACAUAAAGAACAAUUUUUUGCCUUCUCAACAGUUCGCAGGCAGUGAUUCUAGAGAAGAGCGAGUGUCUGUCAGUAAUGCUCUCGUUCAUUCACAAUUACCAUUCACGCAAACUACCUCUGCUGCUACCCAGCUUUUUCUGCAGGUGUGCAAUGAAAAAUUGAUGGUCAGAGAGACAAUCUCUAAAACAGACUCAAAGUGGCGCUCAACAAUAAAGUAUGUGCUCUGAUACAAGCAUUCACCAAGGUAAUCUUACAUUCUAAAUCCUGUGAAAGCACCUCAAUAAAACAACCUUUAAAGUGGAUGCAUAACAUUUACUUUGUAAUUGGAACAGAUUGCUAUCUUUUGAGUCAUUUGGUGCGGUUCUUUGACCUGUGCUUCAGAAUGUUCCUCACAUUAUUUUCCCCUACUCCUCCAGGCAUUGCUACUUCUGCUUAUUUUAAAGCCUAUGCAAUUGAUUAUAUCAUUCAUGGGUUUUUGGCAGAUCUGGCUUUUGAAUCUGUGGACUUCAGAGAAUUCACUGAAGUUCACACAUUACCUCUCAAAAUAGCAGUUGAAAACAUUUGAAUUUUUUUUAAACAAAAAGGAGCUUAAUUUUUGUGAUCUUAUGGAAGGAGGGAGUAUAGGCAAGGCAAAAGGGCUACUUGCUCUACAAUUGUAUAUUCUGUAGUUUUAUUUGAACUGCCUGGAAUCCCCUACCUGAGUAAUACUGCUCAGGCCGCCUCCUUUUUUUAUAAUAUGUACACAGACAUGUGAAUAAAUAAAGUAACUUGAAUGCUAUGAUGCUGUAAUGCACAAGAUUUUGAGAUUUUUCAGGAUGAGUAGAAGCAGCUGUAUGUAAGCUCACAGUGGUUUCAAUUUACCCGGCUUCUUGAGCUGACUACAGUACAAUGGAUGCAUGUACAUCCCCUUUAAAAAUAUGUAUACAUUUCUUCCUUGGUUAAAACCAGUUACUAUAAUAACUCUCUUAUUUUUGAGGUUCACAGUGAACUGAUUUAAGAACACCAUGUGGUACUGGAUGAUUUGUUUUCCGUGCCUUUUUUAUUGUAACUGUUUGGCAGUGAAAGAUAAUGAUUUAAACAUGCUAUGUUAGAUUUAAAUAUGGAGCAACAAGAGAGAAACUGGUUUCAUUUAAAUUCUGUCCAAGAAAAUAAUAUUCAUAUCCGCUAAUAUUCCCCUUUAGAAAUAUUUUUUCUCUUUACUGGCUAAAACAAUCCUCCACCGCUAGUGUUCUUAAACAGAAAUGCCCAGUAAAGUUUUUUUUUUUAAACUUUAUAGAGUGCAUUUUGUUUUCUUUUGCAGGGAGAUGUCAACAUCUCCAGUUUAUAGGUUGCAUGCAUCCUUCAGAUGUCUGUCAGAGUUGAUAAAUGUCUUGUUACAUUUUUUGGUUAAUUCUUCAAGCAAGAUUGUAGAUACUUUUUAUUCUGAAUAGUUAUAGCAGUUAGCUUUCAUGAUUUCAAUGUUAUUUUUUCAUCUGUGCUAUAAACCCAACCUUGUUUUUUUCCUUGCUGUUUGCAGUUUAAAAGACCAGCACAAAGAGAAAGAUUGCGUCUACUCAGUGAGAAAACACGUUCAUUUAGGAAAAAAGACACCGAUUUUCUUUCACCGCUGUUGGCUGUGCUGCUCAGGUUUACAUUUAACACGUGUAUUUUCCAUUUCCCCCAUCUGAUCAAGUUCAGCUCCUCAAUGAAACAAUAUCUUAAAAAGAAAAUGAUUUGGGGAAAUGAUAGUUACUAAAGAGUGUAUUGCUCACUAAGAUGCUCUGUUGAUCAGUAAGAGUGAAAAAGCUACCCUUACUGAUAAGAGCAUGCAAGGCAUUCGGCUGUCUCUGUCAGGUUAAUGCAACACUGGAUUAAUAAAAAUGUUGGAAGACCUCUUGGAGAACUGACCUUUUGACAAAUCAGUGAAGAUAACCAGUUGGCUGUUUUUGUACCAGAUUCAUCCUGGAAGAAAAAUGUUCAACCUAAAGGAUGUAAUUAAUUAUAAAACUGUUACAAUUUCAUGAAAAUGUAGAUUCCAGCCAAAGCAUGACUGACUACCUUUGGCAGCUGCCUAGGCUUUUCUAGGUAUAUAGUCAUUGGAUGUAAUGUCAUGUGGCCCAGGGUUCAUGUUCUGUAAUGCAGCAACUGUUGCUAGAGGCUUGUUUUGUGGCCUUUUUAUUCCAUAGCUGAUGUGGAAUUCUUUCUAAAACAAAAUAAUGCUUCCAAAUUUUAGUUCUUACCUGUUUUUUUUUUUUUUUUAAAUUUUUUUCUAAAUUGAUUGAUUUAGAACUCUUAUUUUUCGGUUAUAAAAAAAAAAAAAAAAAGUUGCAUUCUGUGAAUGGUGUGUUUUGAGUUUUCUCCACAGUGUAAAUUGCCUUGUAAAAAUUCCUUGGUUUAUACCUGAUACAUACAAAUGACACAGACUACUUCAGUUUACUGGAGGUUAUUGUUUUGAAUAAUGUGUGGUGAACACAAACUACUUCAGUUUACUGGAGGUCAUUGUUUUGAAUAAAUGCGUUGUUGCAUCUCACUGUUGUAACCUGAAUGUUUGAUCUUCCAAAGAAAUUCUUAGGAAUUUCUGCCUACAUAAAUUGCAUUUCUUUCCUUGGUUACUUAUGGGUUAAAUAUAGUUGAAGAUUGUAAUAUAUCUCUUUAAUUACUUUGGAUUUAUUGUAUCAGGGUUUUAUUAUGCACCAAGUUCUGCCCCUAAGUUUGCAAGUUCUUUUCAUGAAACUUCUCAAACUGCUCAAAUUAGCCUGCUUCUUUCCUGAGUGUAAUUCUGCAUUUAGUAAUGUGAAAAAAUGCUAUUUCUAGUCUGUUUCAUUGUUACGCCUUUGUAAAAUGUUUCAGUCUAAAAGACAGGUUUUUUUUUUUUUUUUUUUUUUGUAAAUAGGUAAAACCUUUAAUUCAGUCCUGUCCAUGGUUUAUCCCCCUAGUUUUCUGGUUUUCAUUCACUUUUUAAAGUCUUAAGUUUGGUAUAUUUAAAGUUGUUUCUUUACAGUCGAUGUAUUUAUUUUGCAACAUGAAAUUGCAUUCUAAAGUGAAGCAUAUUUUAUUAUAAAAAAAAAAAAAGAAGAAGAAAGAAAAAAAAAUAGCCCAUUAUUGUGUUUUGUAAUGGAGCCAAUGGGUACCAAGGUCCCUUUAUACAAAAAAAAAAAACCCCUUAAAAUGUAAAAGUGCAUCUAUUUUUGAAGUAGCAAAAGUUUUGACUUGAGAAAAUGUGCCUUUCUUGUUUGAAGUAUGCAUUGACACAACAAACGUAAACUGAAAGUAAUACAUUUAUUUUAUCAGAGAUUCUUGGGACUAUUUUCUUAAGGUAUGUUAUGUUUCUUUCUGAUUUGUUUGCUGACCGACUGUUAGGGGUGGAUUUAUUUCAUGACAACACUGAACAACAGAGCCACCCUCAGCCAUUGGAAUUCUGUAUUAUUUUACAAAACCCAUGAAACAACAUGUACAAGUGGCAGUUUAGUGAAAUGCACACACAAGUGUUCAAUGAUACAUUGCACACAUAACAAUAAACCUGAACUGCACUGAUUCCACUGCCUUUUAAAUUAAAUUUUUGAGCCAAGUGACCUUUACUAUGGUGUGUAUUUCACAUGGACAAAAAUAAAAUAAUAAAGCCAAGUGUACUGUAAAGCAUAUGGAAGCAUCACAAACCAGUUGCCUUUUUUGCUGGUAGUAAAAGAGCUGAGAUAAUGUUUUGAGUGUGUAAAUUCACUUGACACUGAUUUCAAUGAAUCUUUAAAUGCAUAGAGAAAACAUGCAGCCUCCAUAUUGAACGUGGUGCUCUGAGGCAGGAAUGACAGCUCUGUGCUACCACUCUGCCUAUGUUUAAAAACAUCUGUACUGAACUUGCUAAACUUGAGCCUGAUUAGCAACACCAAUUCACCAAAGUUUAAAGUGGCCCAGGCAUGUGUCUAUGUUCGUUCGUUCACCUUGGAAUGGACAGCAAUUGUGCCUGCCUUGCAUCUGAUGCUCGCUGGGAUAGGCUACAGCUGACCUGCAAACCUGCCCUGGACAAGUGAGUUAGGAGGAUGGAUGCCUGUUUACAUAUAAUAUUUGUUUAAUUCUUGUCACUUGAUUACAAGCAACUCGCCUGCUUAAUAUUCUCUGUCACUAACACUGUGCAUUAUCAAUCAGUCUAGGGCAGCAGGCAGUAUCUUUUCAAAAUAGAAGCGGUCACAAGUGUGACUUUUUCAGUUAUUGUCUGUUUCUCAAACAUACACAGCAAUUCACAUCUGGGCAUCACAAUUUAAUAAUGUUAGUAAAAAAUGGUGAUAACUUUGAGGUUAUUCCAAAUCCAUGGUGUUAAAGGGGUGCAGCAGAGGAAAAUUAAUAGGGUAGAUGACGAUGUGAAGCACACAGCUGGUCUCUUUAGAAGUAUGAUUUGCAUUUGUUGUCUUGAAACAAGACAGUUGUUUUGCAAGAGGUUUAUGAUCUCUAUAUGGAUCAGAACUCUUAACAUUUGGUAAGUUUUACACCUUUUCUUUGUAAUGUGACUCUAGCAUCCAUAAUAAUGCAAGAGCAUGAUGGUAGUUUUUUUUUUUUUUUUAAAUGCAUAAAAUAUGCUUCAUUUUAGAGUGCAGUUUCUUGUGGCAAACUAAUAUAUAUGAUUGUGAAGAGAUAACUUUGACUGGAGAAAUACCAAAGUUAUCCUUUAAUGGUUCAUUACCACCAUGUCCACUGCUGCUUUAACUAAAAAAAAAAAAAAAAAAUUCUGUUGAACAUCAGAAGUUCAACUGCCAUGUUUGUACAAAUUUAAAAUGAAAUUGUCUGUAGUGCUGCAUAUGUGUUCCAUGAUCAAAGUAAUCGGCAUAGAGAAGGCCCAUUCUUUUGAUGCAAAGGCUUUCAGAUUUACAUAAACGUUGCUAAGCCUGAUAAUAAAAUUGCAGAAUUACUUACCAGUAUAUUGCAAACAGUUGCCAGUUUAAAAAAUGCUUCAAUUUCCAUGAAACUGACGUGGCAGUUUUCAGAGGUAUGUACUUUUAAUAUGAAGAUUAAAGCUGGAGUAUACAUUUGAAACAGUCUUCUUAGUCCUUGACCCUGGUACUUUACUUGACUGUAGGCACAUUUCAUACCCUGCUAGUGCUCUAUAUGGUUGGCUGUUAUAAUACAUUAAUGGGGCUGUUAUAAUACAUUAAUGGAUGCAGUGUUCAUUUGUAGUAUAACUUUAGGCCAACAGUAUUUUGUAAUCAUUAUAAAAAUAAUUAGAGGAACGCAGUUGUUUCUGCUAGUUAUAUUUUUAUAGUGAUCUGUUUCUAAUACAUUCAAAGUUUUACUUUAGUCGUAUUCUGACAUUUGAGACAAAUUGGCAUAUUAAGAAGUGUGAAAAUUAUUUAGUGCUUUCUAUGAUGUCUGUUAAAAGUAAAUACAUUUCAUUCACAAGACUAGUUUUGCCAGUGAUUUUAGAACAACCUCAUCUCUCUGGCAGUGCUGAAUUAACAGUGACUCAGUACAAAUUACUGACAAACUAGUUUGUUUUUUUUCACAAAGUGAAAAAUGCAGUUAUUUACUCAUUGUCUUCAGUACAUUCUGACCUGUUUUCAUUCAGAAUACAAUUUUAGGGAGCCUAUGUUUUAUAUUUCAAAAGUUGUACAUGUGUUGCAACCCCCAUACUCCUCCCCCACCCCUAAAGGUCUGUAGCUACAAACUAUUUAAACUGUGUUCAUUCUGAAAAUGUGACAUUCUAUGAUUUAAGAACUUGAUUACAGUGAAAACCAGCAGACAUGGGGGGUGUGGGGGAUUGGCACCAGGACAGAAGUAAAUGUGGUGUAUAAUCUCUUGGAGACGAGCUAACCUUGCUCAUACUUUUUUUUU